This 83-nucleotide microRNA precursor is filed under the name Setaria italica (foxtail millet). Its description in RNAcentral is "mir-399 microRNA precursor family". It matches the Rfam family "mir-399 microRNA precursor family". From Rfam's summary of the family: mir-399 was identified in both Arabidopsis thaliana and Oryza sativa computationally and was later experimentally verified. mir-399 is thought to target mRNAs coding for a phosphatase transporter. The mature sequence is excised from the 3' arm of the hairpin. RNAcentral also lists the same sequence under 1 other name. The record is from Rfam by way of RNAcentral. Lineage: Eukaryota; Viridiplantae; Streptophyta; Magnoliopsida; Poales; Poaceae.
AGGUCCAUUGCAGGGCAACACUCCGUUGGCAGGUACCCUGCCGCCGGCCACCUGCCAAAGGAGAUUUGCCCGGCGAUGCGCCU